UGGUGGAGUGAUUUGUCUGGUUAAUUCCGUUAACGAACGAGGCCUUAACCUGCUAAUUAGGUGUUGCUAUUUCUAGCAUUCGUCUUCUUAGAGGGACUAUGUGUCCAAGCACAUGGAAGUUUGAGGCAAUAACA
This 134-nucleotide ribosomal RNA is filed under the name uncultured eukaryote. RNAcentral's name for it is "partial 18S ribosomal RNA". It matches the Rfam family "Eukaryotic small subunit ribosomal RNA", at positions 1299 to 1458 of the family's 1831-position model. The record is from RNAcentral.